AUUGAACGCUGGCGGCAUGCUUUACACAUGCAAGUCGAACGGCAGCGCGGGCUUUGGCCUGGCGGCGAGUGGCGAACGGGUGAGUAAUACAUCGGAACGUGCCCAGUAGUAGGGGAUAGCUCGGCGAAAGCCGGAUUAAUACCGCAUACGACCUGAGGGUGAAAGCGGGGGAUCUUCGGACCUCGCGCUAUUGGAGCGGCCGAUGGCAGAUUAGCUAGUUGGUGGGGUAAAGGCCUACCAAGGCGACGAUCUGUAGCUGGUCUGAGAGGACGACCAGCCACACUGGGACUGAGACACGGCCCAGACUCCUACGGGAGGCAGCAGUGGGGAAUUUUGGACAAUGGGCGAAAGCCUGAUCCAGCAAUGCCGCGUGUGUGAUGAAGGCCUUCGGGUUGUAAAGCACUUUUGGCGGGAACGAAAAGGACUGUGCCAAUACCACGGUUCGAUGACGGUACCCGCAGAAUAAGCACCGGCUAACUACGUG
Molecule: ribosomal RNA, 484 nt
Filed under: uncultured bacterium
Lineage: Bacteria
Description: partial 16S ribosomal RNA
Rfam family: Bacterial small subunit ribosomal RNA
Source: RNAcentral